UACGGCAGUGAAGUCAUUGAUGCCAUGCUUCCAGGAAAAGCCUCUAAGCUUCAGAUAGUCAGGAAUCGUACCCCAAACCGACACAGGUGGUCGGGUAGAGAAUACCAAGGCGCUUGAGAGAACUCGGGUGAAGGAACUAGGCAAAAUGGUACCGUAACUUCGGGAGAAGGUACGCUCUUGAUGGUGAAGUCCCUCGCGGAUGGAGCUGACGAGAGUCGCAGAUACCAGGUGGCUGCAACUGUUUAUUAAAAACACAGCACUGUGCAAAAUCGCAAGAUGACGUAUACGGUGUGACGCCUGCCCGGUGCCGGAAGGUUAAUUGAUGGGGUUAGCGUAAGCGAAGCUCUUGAUCGAAGCCCCGGUAAACGGCGGCCGUAACUAUAACGGUCCUAAGGUAGCGAAAUUCCUUGUCGGGUAAGUUCCGACCUGCACGAAUGGCGUAAUGAUGGCCACGCUGUCUCCACCCGAGACUCAGUGAAAUUGAAAUCGCUGUGAAGAUGCAGUGUACCCGCGGCUAGACGGAAAGACCCCGUGAACCUUUACUACAGCUUGGCACUGAACAUUGAACCUACAUGUGUAGGAUAGGUGGGAGGCUAUGAAGACGUGACGCCAGUUGCGUUGGAGCCGUCCUUGAAAUACCACCCUUGUAUGUUUGAUGUUCUAACUUAGACCCAUUAUCUGGGUUGAGGACAGUGCCUGGUGGGUAGUUUGACUGGGGCGGUCUCCUCCCAAAGAGUAACGGAGGAGCACGAAGGUGGGCUAAUCACGGUUGGACAUCGUGAGGUUAGUGCAAUGGCAUAAGCCCGCUUAACUGCGAGAAUGACGGUUCGAGCAGGUGCGAAAGCAGGUCAUAGUGAUCCGGUGGUUCUGUAUGGAAGGGCCAUCGCUCAACGGAUAAAAGGUACUCCGGGGAUAACAGGCUGAUACCGCCCAAGAGUUCAUAUCGACGGCGGUGUUUGGCACCUCGAUGUCGGCUCAUCACAUCCUGGGGCUGAAGUCGGUCCCAAGGGUAUGGCUGUUCGCCAUUUAAAGUGGUACGCGAGCUGGGUUUAGAACGUCGUGAGACAGUUCGGUCCCUAUCUGCCGUGGGCGUUGGAAGAUUGAAGGGGGCUGCUCCUAGUACGAGAGGACCGGAGUGGACGAACCUCUGGUGUUCGGGUUGUGUCGCCAGACGCAUUGCCCGGUAGCUAAGUUCGGAAUUGAUAAGCGCUGAAAGCAUCUAAGCGCGAAGCGAGCCCUGAGAUGAGUCUUCCCUGAUACUUUAAGUAUCCUAAAGGGUUGUUCGAGACUAGAACGUUGAUAGGCAGGGUGUGUAAGCGUUGUGAGGCGUUGAGCUAACCUGUACUAAUUGCCCGUGAGGCUUAACCAU
RNAcentral lists this ribosomal RNA (1369 nucleotides) under Vibrio cholerae. RNAcentral describes it as "partial 23S ribosomal RNA". It matches the Rfam family "Bacterial large subunit ribosomal RNA", at positions 1578 to 2925 of the family's 2925-position model. The record is from RNAcentral. Lineage: Bacteria; Pseudomonadati; Pseudomonadota; Gammaproteobacteria; Vibrionales; Vibrionaceae.